RNAcentral lists this ribosomal RNA (505 nucleotides) under uncultured bacterium. RNAcentral's name for it is "bacterial SSU rRNA". It matches the Rfam family "Bacterial small subunit ribosomal RNA", at positions 15 to 509 of the family's 1533-position model. The record is from RNAcentral.
GAUCCUGGCUCAGGAUGAACGCUAGCUACAGGCUUAACACAUGCAAGUCGAGGGGCAGCAUGGUGGUAGCUUGCUACCGCUGAUGGCGACCGGCGCACGGGUGAGUAACGCGUAUCCAACCUUCCCCCUGGUAGGGCAUAGCCCGGCGAAAGUCGGAUUAAUACCCUAUGCUAUCCUUUGAGAGCAUUUGACGAGGAUUAAAGAUUCAUCGCCAGGGGAUGGGGAUGCGUCCGAUUAGGUUGACGGCGGGGUGACGGCCCACCGUGCCCGCGAUCGGUAGGGGUUCUGAGAGGAAGGUCCCCCACAUUGGAACUGAGACACGGUCCAAACUCCUACGGGAGGCAGCAGUGAGGAAUAUUGGUCAAUGGGCGGGAGCCUGAACCAGCCAAGUAGCGUGCGGGACGACGGCCCUAUGGGUUGUAAACCGCUUUUGCAGGGGAAUAAAGUGGGGCACGCGUGCCCCUUUGCAUGUACCCUGAGAAUAAGGACCGGCUAAUUCCGUGCC